CCUACGGGAGGCAGCAGUGAGGAAUAUUGCGCAAUGGGCGAAAGCCUGACGCAGCAACGCCGCGUGAGGGACGAAGGCCUUCGGGUCGUAAACCUCUUUUCUGGGGAAAGAGCGAGGACGGUACCUCAGGAAUAAGUCUCGGCUAACUACGUGCCAGCAGCCGCGGUAAAACGUAGGAGGCGAGCGUUAUCCGGAUUUACUGGGCGUAAAGCGCACGCAGGCGGCUUCGCUAGUCGGGUGUGAAAGCUCCUAGCUUAACUGGGAGAGGCCACUCGAUACUGCGAGGCUUGAGGUUGGGAGAGGGGUGUGGAAUUCCCGGUGUAGUGGUGGAAUGCGUAGAUAUCGGGAGGAACACCUGUGGCGAAAGCGGCACCCUGGCCCACACCUGACGCUGAGGUGCGAAAGCGUGGGGAGUAAACAGGAUUAGAUACCCUGGUAAUCCACGCUGUAAACGAUGUCAACUGGGUGUCGGUAGCUUUACGCUAUCGGUGCCGAAGCAAACGCGUUAAGUUGACCGCCUGGGGACUACGGCCGCAAGGCUAAAACUCAAAGGAAUUGACGG
This 562-nucleotide ribosomal RNA is filed under the name uncultured bacterium. RNAcentral's name for it is "bacterial SSU rRNA". It matches the Rfam family "Bacterial small subunit ribosomal RNA", at positions 338 to 916 of the family's 1533-position model. The record is from RNAcentral.